UAAUUUUCCGUGGAUAUACCGGCAUUUCCUAGCAUAAGUGUCAAAAAAAUUUGAUGGUUGAUAUUCGAGAUUCAAAUUCGAAUCCUAAUUGAUUCAUAUUUUCAGCUAAAUUUAUUUAUAAAUGAAAUAAACAAAGUGGAUAGCAUGUUUUUUGAAGUUUAUUUAUUUUUUGUUCUCUUAGGCUGCGUUUGGUUCGGGUAUAAAUAAGAACUGCUAGUUUUAGGGAUAGGUACAAGUUCAGGUAUAAGCAGGAACUAGACCAAUUUUGCAUUUGGAUGAAAAUUGGGUUGUUCCUAAGAAUAAAGUAAAUAGUGUUUCGAUGGUUAGAUUGGAACAAGAAGAAUAAGAGUUGUAAUUUGAAAUUAAAAUUAUAUUAUGUAAUUAAUAGUAAUAAAAAUAUUACUUAAAAAUAAAUAAGAAAUUAAUUAUUAAUAAUUAAUUAUAAAUAAUAAAUUAAUAA
Molecule: long non-coding RNA, 460 nt
Filed under: Ananas comosus (pineapple)
Lineage: Eukaryota; Viridiplantae; Streptophyta; Magnoliopsida; Poales; Bromeliaceae
Description: long non-coding RNA (ACOM_LNC021319)
Source: RNAcentral